GGAAACGCUGUCAAGAUGUCAAAAAUACGCGGAAAGGGAAAAAAGGAAUUGCUACGGAAAGCGAGGUGGGAGAGGAACCCAGUCAAUUUCACCUGCUCCCCUUCCUCCAGGAAGAAUCGGAACCGAAAGCUUAAUAAGUGUGGUUGUUUUGAUAUUCGAAUCAUGAGACCCAAGGCAUCGUAGGGGACCUCGCCUGCAUGCAUUCGCCUAUCCAUCCUACAGCACCGACUGCACCCCUGAUUGUGAUGACGAAUGCACCCCCAUCCUUGGGCUCCGUGCCCACUGCUGGGCUGGGCUGCUCCCUCAGGUGCGGCAGCCAGAGGAGGUGUGGACUCCCAUCCCACGCGUUUAUCCUCCUGCAGCCUCUCGAGCUUGGUGGCAUAGCCGUCCUUCCAGUCCCCAAGCCAGAUGUCCUUGAUGCCCCUUCUCCCAGCCCCAUCCCCAUCGCCAGUUGUAUCAGUUUUCUAUUGCUACUGUAACAAAUCACUACAAAUUGAGUGGCUUAAAACAACACACAUCUACUCUCUUACAGUUCUAUAGGUCAGAAAUCUGACAUGGUCUCAGAGGGCUAAAUUCAAGGUGUCUGCAGGACAGUGUUCCUGCUGGAGGCUCUUGAGGGAGAAUCGGUUUCCUUGCCUUUUCCAAGUAUAGAGGCCGCCCACAUUGGCCCCCUUCCGUCUUCAAAGCCAGCAAUAGCUCCGAGUCUUUCCUCCCUAGCAUCGCUGUGACGCUGACUCUCCUGCCUCCCUCUUCCACAUUUAAGAACCUUGUGAUUACAUUGGUCCUCCCAGAUAAUCCAGAAUAAUCUCCCCAUCGCAAAAUCAGCUGAUUAGCAACCUCAAUUCCACCUGCAACCUUAAUUCUCCCCUGUCAUGAAAUAUAAGAAGGAGAUCCAUAUGUUCCGGGGAUUGGGAUGCAGACAUUUUGGAGGCAUUGUUCUGCUGACCACGCCAUCCUGACAGUUUU
RNAcentral lists this long non-coding RNA (966 nucleotides) under Pan troglodytes (chimpanzee). Its description in RNAcentral is "lincRNA". Lineage: Eukaryota; Metazoa; Chordata; Mammalia; Primates; Hominidae. The record is from RNAcentral.